This 535-nucleotide ribosomal RNA is filed under the name Klebsiella pneumoniae. RNAcentral's name for it is "partial 23S ribosomal RNA". It matches the Rfam family "Bacterial large subunit ribosomal RNA", at positions 659 to 1192 of the family's 2925-position model. Lineage: Bacteria; Pseudomonadati; Pseudomonadota; Gammaproteobacteria; Enterobacterales; Enterobacteriaceae. The record is from RNAcentral.
AGGGGAGCCGCAGGGAAACCGAGUCUUAACUGGGCGUUAAGUUGCAGGGUAUAGACCCGAAACCCGGUGAUCUAGCCAUGGGCAGGUUGAAGGUUGGGUAACACUAACUGGAGGACCGAACCGACUAAUGUUGAAAAAUUAGCGGAUGACUUGUGGCUGGGGGGGAAAGGCCAAUCAAACCGGGAGAUAGCUGGUUCUCCCCGAAAGCUAUUUAGGUAGCGCCUCGUGAACUCAUCUUCGGGGGUAGAGCACUGUUUCGGCUAGGGGGUCAUCCCGACUUACCAACCCGAUGCAAACUACGAAUACCGAAGAAUGUUAUCACGGGAGACACACGGCGGGUGCUAACGUCCGUCGUGAAGAGGGAAACAACCCAGACCGCCAGCUAAGGUCCCAAAGUCAUGGUUAAGUGGGAAACGAUGUGGGAAGGCACAGACAGCCAGGAUGUUGGCUUAGAAGCAGCCAUCAUUUAAAGAAAGCGUAAUAGCUCACUGGUCGAGUCGGCCUGCGCGGAAGAUGUAACGGGGCUAAACCAUGC